Molecule: ribosomal RNA, 507 nt
Filed under: uncultured bacterium
Lineage: Bacteria
Description: partial 16S ribosomal RNA
Rfam family: Bacterial small subunit ribosomal RNA
Source: RNAcentral
ACGAACGCUGGCGGCGUGCCUAAUACAUGCAAGUCGAACGCUUCUUUCCUCCCGAGUGCUUGCACUCAAUUGGAAAGAGGAGUGGCGGACGGGUGAGUAACACGUGGGUAACCUACCCAUCAGAGGGGGAUAACACUUGGAAACAGGUGCUAAUACCGCAUAACAGUUUAUGCCGCAUGGCAUAAGAGUGAAAGGCGCUUUCGGGUGUCGUUGAUGGAUGGACCCGCGGUGCAUUAGCUAGUUGGUGAGGUAACGGCUCACCAAGGCCACGAUGCAUAGCCGACCUGAGAGGGUGAUCGGCCACACUGGGACUGAGACACGGCCCAGACUCCUACGGGAGGCAGCAGUAGGGAAUCUUCGGCAAUGGACGAAAGUCUGACCGAGCAACGCCGCGUGAGUGAAGAAGGUUUUCGGAUCGUAAAACUCUGUUGUUAGAGAAGAACUAGGACGUUAGUAACUGAACGUCCCCUGACGGUAUCUAACCAGAAAGCCACGGCUAACUACGUG